AUUAGCUAGUUGGUGAGGUAAUGGCUCACCAAGGCGACGAUCCGUAACUGGUCUGAGAGGAUGAUCAGUCACACUGGAACUGAGACACGGUCCAGACUCCUACGGGAGGCAGCAGUGGGGAAUAUUGGACAAUGGGCGAAAGCCUGAUCCAGCCAUGCCGCGUGUGUGAAGAAGGUCUUCGGAUUGUAAAGCACUUUAAGUUGGGAGGAAGGGUUGUAGAUUAAUACUCUGCAAUUUUGACGUUACCGACAGAAUAAGCACCGGCUAACUCUGUGCCAGCAGCCGCGGUAAUACAGAGGGUGCAAGCGUUAAUCGGAAUUACUGGGCGUAAAGCGCGCGUAGGUGGUUCGUUAAGUUGGAUGUGAAAGCCCCGGGCUCAACCUGGGAACUGCAUUCAAAACUGACGAGCUAGAGUAUGGUAGAGGGUGGUGGAAUUUCCUGUGUA
RNAcentral lists this ribosomal RNA (445 nucleotides) under bacterium SA061. RNAcentral's name for it is "bacterial SSU rRNA". It matches the Rfam family "Bacterial small subunit ribosomal RNA", at positions 240 to 677 of the family's 1533-position model. The record is from RNAcentral.